UUGCCUGUAGCUCAGAGAAAAGAGCAACCGCCUUCUAAGCGGUUGGUCGCUGGUUCGAAUCCAGCAAGGCGAGCCA
RNAcentral lists this transfer RNA (76 nucleotides) under Enterobacter hormaechei. RNAcentral's name for it is "tRNA-Arg". It matches the Rfam family "tRNA". Rfam says of the family: Transfer RNA (tRNA) molecules are approximately 80 nucleotides in length. Their secondary structure includes four short double-helical elements and three loops (D, anti-codon, and T loops). The record is from RNAcentral. Lineage: Bacteria; Pseudomonadati; Pseudomonadota; Gammaproteobacteria; Enterobacterales; Enterobacteriaceae.